This 72-nucleotide transfer RNA is filed under the name Fukomys damarensis (Damara mole-rat). It matches the Rfam family "tRNA". Rfam says of the family: Transfer RNA (tRNA) molecules are approximately 80 nucleotides in length. Their secondary structure includes four short double-helical elements and three loops (D, anti-codon, and T loops). Lineage: Eukaryota; Metazoa; Chordata; Mammalia; Rodentia; Bathyergidae. The record is from Rfam by way of RNAcentral.
GGGGAUACAGCUCAGUGGUAGAGCACUUGCCUAGUAGGUAAAAGGCCAUGGGCUCAAACCCUAAUACCAUCA